Molecule: long non-coding RNA, 301 nt
Filed under: Androctonus crassicauda
Lineage: Eukaryota; Metazoa; Arthropoda; Arachnida; Scorpiones; Buthidae
Source: RNAcentral
CUAAUAAUAAAACACCACCAAAGUGGGGACACCUGCUUUCAUUUAGUUGAGCAUAAUAGAAUAGCCUUCCACCCUAGAUGACCCUACUAGAAAUAUUAUUUCUGUUGUGCAUUACCCAUUCUCCCCACAUAUAUCCCUCUGCCACUUUGAGGCAGCUUAGCAGGAUUCAGGAAAUAAUAAUAAUAAUAAUGCAUUCACCCAAAAAAUUGGCAAAUACACGGAGCUCUGACAAGAAAUUGGGUGUAUCUGGGGAGUGCAAAAGGUGGUCACAGUAUCCAUCAUUCUAUCCGCAACAGGAGUA